AUGAAACCGAGCGGAAGAGCCUGGCCACGGCACAAAUAACCACUCAAAAAUUUAUAACUGUGUCUGAUCAUAGCAAUUAGUGUGAAUUUGAUUUUAUUGCCGACUAAGAAAACCGAAAGUGUUCAGAACCAGCCAGCAGCAACAAAGGCAGUUGUAAAGCCAAUGCGUAGCUAAAAGCUGCAAAUGCACACCGAACACGGUAAG
Molecule: non-coding RNA, 204 nt
Organism: Drosophila melanogaster (fruit fly)
Lineage: Eukaryota; Metazoa; Arthropoda; Insecta; Diptera; Drosophilidae
Source: Ensembl